CAACCCUUUUCGCCAAGUGAUAAGAAAGCCAAAUAUACAGAAUACGCCCCUUUUCAGACAAACCUUUUCAGUUCGCUAAAAGCAACAGAAGCAGCACCAUGAAAAAAUUCCUUGUGAUAUUCCUGCUUUUGGCAAUUUUCACAACAAUGGCUGUCGGACUAAAAUGCUACGACUGCGAUCCCUCAAUGGAGGGUCAAUGCAAAAGUUCCAACACCAACCGAGACACUACUUGCGAAGCCAGGGGAGGCAAAUCCAGUAUCCAAAAUCUCUUUCGUUGGCAAUCUGACGCUUCUCAAGGCUAUGUGUGUGUCAGCUUUUAUUAUGAAAGUAAAAACGAAACCUUGAGAGGUGUAUACAGAGGCUGCAAGAGCAAAGAAAUUGAUUCAACAAAUAUUUGCGAUGAAAUCAAAGCCCAAGAAACGCAAAAUGAGGGCGAUACUAUCAAGUCUUGCGAAGAGUGCACGAGUGAUCUGUGUAAUGGUGGACCGGUAGAUGGGGCUGCCAGUUUAGCCCUUUCAAUGGCUGCGUUUUUUGGGGCUGCUGUGUGUUUCUAUUUCUCGAAUUUUUGAUUUAUAUCAAAGAAAUUAUUAGUACACUUUUUGAUGUAAAAUUUUUGCUUAUCAUUGAAUAAACAUUGGAAAACA
Molecule: RNA transcript, 644 nt
Organism: Tribolium castaneum (red flour beetle)
Lineage: Eukaryota; Metazoa; Arthropoda; Insecta; Coleoptera; Tenebrionidae
Exons: 3
Source: RefSeq, a predicted model, not a curated record